GGGUAAAUGUCAUGGGAGCACCAGCACAGGAACGAUGGAGACUGAAUUUACAAGUAGAGCAACGGUAUGUUGCACCUUCUUCAUGACCAUAAGUUCCGCAUUUGGACUUUGGUUGAUCAUUAUAGCUAGUGAGUAUGAGGGGGUGAUUUGGGUGAAAAUGGAGUUGUAUCCUUCGCGGAAGAGUGAAACAAGUCUCGUCGAUGAAGUAAUUGCAUAGCUGGCAAAUGUAACCAGACAAAGCCUGGCUUGAACAUAUGCAACAACUCAUGAUCGAUGCCUCAUUCGUUUGUUUGAUUGCU
Molecule: long non-coding RNA, 299 nt
Filed under: Solanum tuberosum (potato)
Lineage: Eukaryota; Viridiplantae; Streptophyta; Magnoliopsida; Solanales; Solanaceae
Description: long non-coding RNA (STUB_LNC007961)
Source: RNAcentral